AGAGUUUGAUCCUGGCUCAGGACGAACGCUGGCGGCACGCCUAACACAUGCAAGUCGAACGGAGAUGAUUUGAGUUUACUUAGAUCAUCUUAGUGGCGGACGGGUGAGUAACACGUGAGCAACCUGCCUUUGAGAGAGGGAUAGCUUCUGGAAACGGAUGGUAAUACCUCAUAACAUACAGAUACCGCAUGGUGACUGUAUCAAAGAUUUAUCACUCAAAGAUGGGCUCGCGUCUGAUUAGAUAGUUGGUGAGGUAACGGCUCACCAAGUCGACGAUCAGUAGCCGGACUGAGAGGUUGAACGGCCACAUUGGGACUAAGACACGGUCCAAACUCCUACGGGAGGCAGCAGUGGGGAAUAUUGCACAAUGGGCGAAAGCCUGAUGCAGCAACGCCGCGUGAGCGAUGAAGGCCUUCGGGUCGUAAAGCUCUGUCCUCAAGGAAGAUAAUGACGGUACUUGAGGAGGAAGCCCCGGCUAACUACGUGCCAGCAGCCGCGGUAAUACGUAGGGGGCUAGCGUUAUCCGGAUUUCCUGGGCGUAAAGGGUGCGUAGGCGGUCUUUUAAGUCAGGAGUGAAAGGCUACGGCUCAACCGUAGUAAGCUCUUGAAACUGGAGGACUUGAGUGCAGGAGAGGAGAGUGGAAUUCCUAGUGUAGCGGUGAAAUGCGUAGAUAUUAGGAGGAACACCAGUAGCGAAGGCGGCUCUCUGGACUGUAACUGACGCUGAGGCACGAAAGCGUGGGGAGCAAACAGGAUUAGAUACCCUGGUAGUCCACGCCGUAAACGAUGAGUACUAGCUGUCGGAGGUUACCCCCUUCGGUGGCGCAGCUAACGCAUUAAGUACUCCGCCUGGGGAGUACGCUCGUAAGAGUGAAACUCAAAGGAAUUGACGGGGACCCGCACAAGUAGCGGAGCAUGUGGUUUAAUUCGAAGCAACGCGAAGAACCUUACCUAAGCUUGACAUCCUUUUGACCGAUGCCUAAUCGCAUCUUUCCCUUCGGGGACAGAAGUGACAGGUGGUGCAUGGUUGUCGUCAGCUCGUGUCGUGAGAUGUUGGGUUAAGUCCCGCAACGAGCGCAACCCUUGCCUUUAGUUGCCAUCAUUAAGUUGGGCACUCUAGAGGGACUGCCAGGGAUAACCUGGAGGAAGGUGGGGAUGACGUCAAAUCAUCAUGCCCCUUAUGCUUAGGGCUACACACGUGCUACAAUGGGUGGUACAGAGGGCAGCGAAGUCGUGAGGCCAAACUAAUCCCUUAAAGCCAUUCUCAGUUCGGAUUGUAGGCUGAAACUCGCCUACAUGAAGCUGGAGUUACUAGUAAUCGCAGAUCAGAAUGCUGCGGUGAAUGCGUUCCCGGGUCUUGUACACACCGCCCGUCACACCAUGGGAGUUGGGGGCGCCCGAAGCCGGCUAGCUAACCUUUUGGAAGCGGUCGUCGAAGGUGAAACCAAUAACUGGGGUGAAGUCGUAACAAGGUA
This 1475-nucleotide ribosomal RNA is filed under the name metagenome. RNAcentral describes it as "bacterial SSU rRNA". It matches the Rfam family "Bacterial small subunit ribosomal RNA". The record is from RNAcentral.